RNAcentral lists this ribosomal RNA (582 nucleotides) under uncultured archaeon. Its description in RNAcentral is "bacterial SSU rRNA". It matches the Rfam family "Archaeal small subunit ribosomal RNA", at positions 837 to 1478 of the family's 1478-position model. The record is from RNAcentral.
UAGGUCGCAAGACUGAAACUUAAAGGAAUUGGCGGGGGAGCACCACAAGGGGUGAAGCCUGCGGUUCAAUUGGAGUCAACGCCGGAAAUCUUACCGGGGGCGACAGCAGAGUGAAGGUCAAGCUGAAGACUUUACCAGACAAGCUGAGAGGAGGUGCAUGGCCGUCGCCAGCUCGUGCCGUGAGGUGUCCUGUUAAGUCAGGUAACGAGCGAGAUCCCUGCCUCUAGUUGCUACCAUUAUUCUCAGGAGUAGUGGAGCUAAUUAGAGGGACCGCCGUCGCUGAGACGGAGGAAGGUGGGGGCUACGGCAGGUCAGUAUGCCCCGAAACCCUCGGGCCACACGCGGGCUGCAAUGGUAAGGACAAUGAGUUUCGAUUCCAAAGGAGGAGGCAAUCUCUAAACCUUACCACAGUUAUGAUUGAGGGCUGAAACUCGCCCUCAUGAAUAUGGAAUCCCUAGUAACCGCGUGUCACUAUCGCGCGGUGAAUACGUCCCUGCUCCUUGUACACACCGCCCGUAAUUCCGCGGCCGCCAUGGGGCGGACAUGCACUCGGCCCAAUUCCCUAUAGUGAAUCGAAUAAUU